Molecule: ribosomal RNA, 346 nt
Filed under: Pantoea agglomerans
Lineage: Bacteria; Pseudomonadati; Pseudomonadota; Gammaproteobacteria; Enterobacterales; Erwiniaceae
Description: partial 23S ribosomal RNA
Rfam family: Bacterial large subunit ribosomal RNA
Source: RNAcentral
GGUUAAGCGACUAAGCGUACACGGUGGAUGCCCAGGCAGUCAGAGGCGAUGAAGGACGUGCUAAUCUGCGUAAAGCGACGGUAAGGUGAUAUGAACCGCUACAGCCGUCGAUGUCCGAAUGGGGAAACCCGGUGCACUCUGUGCAUCAUUGCAGCAUGAAUACAUAGUGCUGCAAGGCGAACCGGGGGAACUGAAACAUCUAAGUACCCCGAGGAAAAGAAAUCAACCGAGAUUCCCCCAGUAGCGGCGAGCGAACGGGGAGCAGCCCAGAGCCUGAAUCAGCUUGUGUGUUAGUGGAAGCGUCUGGAAAGUCGCAGGGUACAGGGUGAUACUCCCGUACACAAAA